This 451-nucleotide ribosomal RNA is filed under the name uncultured bacterium. RNAcentral's name for it is "bacterial SSU rRNA". It matches the Rfam family "Bacterial small subunit ribosomal RNA", at positions 329 to 794 of the family's 1533-position model. The record is from RNAcentral.
GUCCAGACUCCUACGGGAGGCAGCAGUGGGGAAUAUUGGACAAUGGGGGGAACCCUGAUCCAGCGACGCCGCGUGAAGGAAGAAGGGUUUCGGCUCGUAAACUUCUAUCAACAGGGACGAAAGAAAUGACGGUACCUGAAUAAGAAGCCCCGGCUAACUACGUGCCAGCAGCCGCGGUAAUACGGAGGGGGCAAGCGUUACUCGGAAUCACUGGGCGUAAAGAGUGCGUAGGCGGGGUAAUAAGUCAGAUGUGAAAUCCUGUAGCUUAACUACAGAACUGCAUUUGAAACUGUUACUCUGGAGUGUGGGAGAGGUAGGUGGAAUUCUUGGUGUAGGGGUAAAAUCCGUAGAGAUCAAGAGGAAUACUCAUUGCGAAGGCGACCUGCUGGAACAUUACUGACGCUGAUGCACGAAAGCGUGGGGAGCAAACAGGAUUAGAUACCCCUGUAGC